GUUAAAACUCAAAUGAAUUGACGGGGGCCCGCACAAGCGGUGGAGCAUGUGGUUUAAUUCGAUGCAACGCGAAGAACCUUACCUGGUCUUGACAUCCACAGAACUUUCCAGAGAUGGACUGGUGCCUUCGGGAACUGUGAGACAGGUGCUGCAUGGCUGUCGUCAGCUCGUGUUGUGAAAUGUUGGGUUAAGUCCCGCAACGAGCGCAACCCUUAUCCUUUGUUGCCAGCGGUUAGGUCGGGAACUCAAAGGAGACUGCCAGUGAUAAACUGGAGGAAGGUGGGGAUGACGUCAAGUCAUCAUGGCCCUUACGACCAGGGCUACACACGUGCUACAA
RNAcentral lists this ribosomal RNA (337 nucleotides) under Salmonella enterica subsp. enterica serovar Weltevreden. RNAcentral's name for it is "bacterial SSU rRNA". It matches the Rfam family "Bacterial small subunit ribosomal RNA", at positions 893 to 1230 of the family's 1533-position model. Lineage: Bacteria; Pseudomonadati; Pseudomonadota; Gammaproteobacteria; Enterobacterales; Enterobacteriaceae. The record is from RNAcentral.